GCCAAUGGGAAUGGAGAAUUCAUCUUCCUCUCUGAGGCCGGGCUUCUAUCACGUGUUUGCAUGGACACGUUUACGCUGCUCUUCCUGGUUAUUUCUGGACGUGGAAAUUCAUUAUAUCGCUGCAGAGAAGCAGAAUGACCAAACCAAAGGAAAAAAAGGAGAAAAUAAGCGUUGCUACAGAGAUUGACCGAAUCGAGGAACGGCGAUCGCUCUGCCAGCGUAACCUGGAGAGAGCGGAGAACAGGUGUUACACCGGCACCGCCGAGAGGAGCUAUCGGAGCAGGACAGACAAACGCUGGAAGAUGAAAUGACAAUAACUAAAGAGAGAAUCCAAAAAUAUGACCGUGAGCUGGAGGUGCUGCGCUGGGAAAACCGCAGAAACAUGCUUCUGGCUGUUUCGCUGAUGGCCAUCAUAGCUCUCUGCUACUACGCCUUUAUCGCCUAGCACUUCCGCCAGUCACCCUCAAGCUGGCCUUCUGUAAUCAGUACUCACCACUUAGUCUGGGUGAUGUCCUGAUCAAGGGCAUGACUUUGGGUUGAGCACUGGGGGGUUGAGGUCUCCACCCAUUUUAGGGGGUCCAGGGGGUUAUAUUGGCUGGUUUUGAUCAUUAGGGGGGGUUAGAACCCCCACCCCCCCCAUAAUUUAUGCCCAUGGUCCUGAUGCACCUUAUUCUGUCUGAAACAAUAUCUGCCUUUGCUGUAGGUGUGAUAGAUGAGUAGUACAGGUUGUUUUUAAAACAGUUGCCGGCUUUUACCUGUAGAUGGCAGGAUUGCUCAGACUUUCACCAUCAUAGGCAAAAGUUACUUAAGUAAUCUGUGAGCUGCACUCCAGAGAAAUGGAUAACACCCAGUGAUUUCGAGUUAUAAUACAGUUUUCCCUGUGAUUCUUUUUAUGAGCAUACAGAUGAACAGGGUAUUGAUAGACUACAGCAGAACCGUAUUGAAAAACUCAUGGCUGCUCUGAAGUCGCAUGGGUGUUAGGAAUAUAAAGACUUAUCCUUGUAGGUUUGUCACGGUACGUUCAGUGCCAUUGAGCAGAGGGACCUCAGUGGUAAAGAACAGGAAGCUUGUGUUGGAAAACUGUCAUGAUUAACAAGAAACCGUAUGUGACACAGUGACAAGAGAACAGAAGUCAGACAUAACUGUGCUAGUGUGUAGGGCUGGAAUUACUGGAAUUAUGCUGCAUGUUGUCUUUGUAUAAAAUUCUUUGCCCAUCUGUGUUGCCAGAAUCGUACUUAAAACAAUGACAGUGAUCCUUCCAAAAGAAUAAAAAGCACAUCUAAAGGGAUCCGUGUUUCAUUUAUAUGGCACCUUGAUGCAUAUACAGCUUUGGACAAAAAUUAAGAGACCAAGUUUGUCAGAAUUCAGUGCUGAUGCUUGUAAUAUGAAAAAUGAUUAGUCACUGACCCCCCUUCUGUUACCAGGUUUAGCACCAAACUAGGGCCAGUUUGGCUACGAUUCCAAGCGUCUUGGCUAUUUGUGGGUUCAGCAGGAAAUAUCACCACAGUGUUAGAACCACAUUGGCACCUCUGGUUUCUUGCAUACCAAGUCAUAUUUACUACAUUACAUACUAAGGCUUAUUUCUGGGAACUUUUUGGCAGCGGUGCUGUUUUCAGGUGGUUUUUCAGUUGUUAGAGUUUUGUAUUAAAUACGCAAUAAAUAUAGGACACUGGUAUUAGGAGUUUGCUAUAAUGUACAUUUUAUUGGGAGGAUGUAAAAAAAAAAAUCCUGGGUUAGUGUAUGAGCGUCAUCCAAGAGACCAGAGAUAAGGGUGUAUGAAAAUUUCUGGCUGUUUAUCACUGGCUCCUGACCUCGUAUUGUGUUACCCUUGGGGGGAAAAAAGAAUAGGAUAUGGAUCAUUGUUUAAGUCACCACGAGGGAGCACAGUUGCUGUCAUGCAUGCAAAUAGAACCAAAUAUUUGGGUCUUUUUUCCAACUUUUUUUGUGGUAUUUUACUUGGAAUAAGAUGCCUAUUGCAUUCAGUUCUGGAAAGUUGCGUAAAUAUGCAUCUGGGAUGGGAGAGUGCGUGUCUGUGUCAGAUUGUGAGUUACAGUCUGCAGUGAACUGCGUCCAACUGUGUGUUAUGUGUCUGCAGAACAGGACAGGAUUACGUGGAUGAGUGUGACCAGAGGCCUAAUGAGAUUUAUGGAUGCUGACAGUGCCAGCAUCUGGUAUCUAUGUACGAUUAAUGUCGGAUGUUCCGGAUGGUUCUUAAUACUGGCGGCCAUGCAUGAGCAUGAAGGAAGGGAACAAGAUGAAGCCUAAUGUGAUUUCCACAGCUGAUUAAACAAAAAUCUUAAAAUCAGUGUUUACAAUAUGUGCUUUGAAUUCAGGAUAUUGAUUGUGCCAAUCUGAGAAUAAUACCUGAAAUACUGCCUGUUUGAGUUUGGGGAAAAAAAUAUGUAGGAGUGAUUUUCUUAUGAAAAUAGCAUUUUUGCUUAGCUUUGUUUCAUAUUUCAGUUUCAAAAUGCAAGAUUUUUAUUUGUCACAUGCAUGAAUGUAGCGGCACGCCAGCAGUAAAUUGAAAUUGCCUAAAACUCCAGACUGCAAUAAGGUAGAAGGAUAACAAAAUAAAAAAAAAAAACUGAUAAAUUAAGUAUUAAAACUACAGAAAUAUACAGAAAGUAAAGAUAAAAAGAUAUGAAAAAAUAUUGAAAGACCAGGUUGCAGUCAUGGCUUAUUGUAGUUUUUCAUCAGUGGUAUUAAUGUUUCUGAUGUCCUGGGGGUAGAAGGUUCUCCUCAGUCACACAGACCAUAAGGCUCUGGUGGCACCUGUCUGGGUGCAGCCGCUGAGACAGUUUAUGGCAUGGAUGGUGAGUAUCUCUGAUAUUUAAUGCCCUGGACCUACAUAUGCUGGAUGGAGAUGUUCUACAGGGCGAGCAGGUCUGCGAUUUUGAAUUUCCUCUGUUGCCUCAGGUGAUACAGGCACUAGAUCAUUCUCUGCACCAGGGUGUAUGUGUGGUUUGUCCACCUCAGGUUCUCAGAGAUACGUACUCUGAUAUACCAGUAGUACCAGUAAUAUCACAUUCAGAACAGCACCUCAUGUGCACCAACAAACGUGACACUGACUUUACCUCAGAGGGCACAAAUACUUAGUAGUGAAACACUCAACUUGACAGACACAGCCUAGCCUUUACACAGGAUAAAACGCAGGUGGAACACAGGGCAUUUGGGGCAGGACAAUUCAUGGUAACACAAUAUAAAAUAUCUAGAAUAUAUAAAAGAAAUUAAAAAUACUAGAAAGUGACAAUAUCUGGAAAGCAAAUCGGUAAAUUGGCUUUAAAAUAUUUGUAAUUUGAGCACAAUUCAAAUCCCACUCGGAAGUGUGAUGUGCAAAUCUUAAAACAGGCCGCACGAUAUCUUUCGAUAUCACACGUCCUGUAUUUCCCUGCCCUCCGUUCGUCAAACACUCCAGUAAUCCUGCAAAGAUGCGGCGUAUUAUGUGAUGAUGCCAGGGUUUAUAAACCGGCCGGAGGCGCGAUGGGCGCACGGGCAGGGCGGGUGAGAGCCGGUGUUCGGGGAUCGCUUUGCUGUUAGGAGACGAUGCAGAGGUAACUGCAGACAGCACCGAGAUGUUUUUACGGAUUCCCCACCUCACACCAGGCUAUAUCAGAUACCUGCAGGCUGCCUAACACGCGCGCACCCCCAAAGGAAAACUACAUGAACACGGCUACAAAUCGAGAGCCGGGGAUCGCAGACGCUAGCAA
Paramormyrops kingsleyae is the source of this 3707-nucleotide non-coding RNA. The record is from RefSeq and is a predicted model, not a curated record. Lineage: Eukaryota; Metazoa; Chordata; Actinopteri; Osteoglossiformes; Mormyridae.